CACUCCACUGCUGCCUCACGGGGGUAAUACACUCCACUGCUGCCUCACGGGGUAAUACACUCCACUGCUGCCUCACAGGGGUAAUACACUCCACUGCUGCCUCACGGGGGUAAUACACUCCACUGCUGCCUCACGGGGGUAAUACACUCCACUGCUGCCUCACGGGGCUAAUACACUCCACUGCUACUCUACCUUCCGUGAUCCAUACAAAGCCCUUCCCCGCCAUCCCUUCGGCAAAUCUGACCACGGCGCCAUCUUGCUCCUAUGGUCUUAAAGGUAGAAACUCAAACAGGAUGUACCAGUGACUAGAACCAUUCAACGCUGGUCUGACCAAUCGGAAUCCCUCCUUCAAGAUUGUUUGAUCACGCAGACUGGGAUAUGUUCCGGUCAGCCUCAGAGAACAACAUUGAUCUAUACGCUGACUCUGUGAGUGAGUUUAUAAGGAAGUGCAUUGGAGAUGUUGUACCCACUGUGACCAUUAAAACCUACCCUAACCAGAAACCGUGGCUGGAUGGCGGCAUUUGUGCAAAACUGAAAGCGCGAACCACCACAUUUAACCAUAGAAAGAGGUCUGGGAAUAUGGCUGAAUAUAAACAAUGCAGUUAUUCCCUCCGCAAGGCAAUCAAACAAGCGAAAUGCCGGUACAGGGACAAAGAUGAGUUGCAAUUCAACGGCUCAGACAGAAGACGUAUGUGGCAGGGCCUACAGGAAAUCAUGGACUGCAAAAAGAAAACCAGCUCUGUCACGGACACCGACGUCAUGCUUCCAGACAAACUAAACACCUUCGUUGCCCGCUUUGAGGAUAUACAGUGCCAACGUUGAGGCCCGCUAUCAAGGACUGAGCCCCCCCUUUCCUUCUCUGUGGCCGACGUGAGUAAAACAUUUAAACGUGUUAACCCUGCUGGCACAGACGGCAUCCUUAGCCGCGUUUUCAGAGCAUGGGCAGACCAGCUGGCUGGUGUGUUUACAGACAUAUUCAAUUGCUCCCUGUCCCAGUCUGCUGUCCCCACAUGCUUCAAGAUGGCCACCAUUGUUCCUGUACCCAAGAAGGCAAAGAUAACUGAACAAAAUGACUACUGCUCCGUAGCACUCACUUCUGUCAUCAUGACGUGCUGAGAGACUAGUCAAGGAUCAUAUCACCUCCACCUUACCUGUCACCCUAGACCCACUUCAGUUUGCAUACCACCCAAAUAGGUCCACAGACAAUGCAAUUGCCAUCACACUGCACACUGCACACUGCACACUGCACACUGCCCUAUCCCAUCUGAACAAGAGGAAUACCUAUGUAAGAAUGCUGUUCAUUGACUACAGCUCAGCAUUCAACACCAUAGUACCAUUCAAGCUCAUCAUCAAGCUGGAGGCCCUGGGUCUCAACCCCUGUGCAUUUGGGUCCUGGACGUUCUGACGGGCCUCCCCCAGGUGGUGAAGGUAGGAAACAACAUCUCCACUUCGCUGACCGUCUUACGGGCACUCGGAGUGUAGUGUCAGGAAAACAACUUCUCACUCAACGUCAACAAAACAAAGGAGAUGAUCGUGGACUUCAGGAAACAGCAGAGGGAGCAUCCCCCUAUCCACAUCGAAAGGACAGUAGUGGAGAAGGUAGAAAGUUUUAAGUUCCUCAGCGUACACAUCACAGACAAACUGAAAUGGUCCACCCACACAGACAGUGUGGUGAAGAAGGCGCCACAGCAUCUCUUCAACCUCAGGAGGCUGAAGAAAUUUGGCUUGUCAUCCAACACCCUGACAAACUUUUACAGAUACACAAUCGAGAGCAUCCUGUCGGGCUGGUAGUGAGGUCUGCACAACUCAUCACCGGGGCAAACUACCUGCCCUCCAUGACUCCUACAGCGCCCAAUGUCACAGGAAGGCCAAAAAGAUCAUCAAGGACAUCAACCACCUGAGCCACUGCCUGUUCACCCCGCUAUCAUCCAGAAGGCGAGGUCAGUACAGGUGCAUCAAAGCAGGGACCGAGAGACUAAAAAACAGCUUCUAUCUCAAGGCCAUCAGACUGCUAAACAGCAAUGACUAACUCAGAGAGGCUGCUGCCUACAUUGAGACCCAAUCACUGGCCACUUUAACAAUGGAUCACGAGCCACUUUAAAUAAUGGCAGUUUAAUAAUGUUAACAUAUCUUACAUUACUCAUAUCACAUGUACACACUGUAUUCUAUACCAUCUAUUGCACGUUGUCUCUGCCGCUCGGCUAUCGCUCAUCCACAUAUUUAUAUGUGCAUAUUCUCAUUCACCCCUUUUUUGUAUUAGGUAGUUGUUUGGGAAUUGUUAGAUUACUUGUUAGAUAUUACUGCACAAGCAUUUCGCAUUAACAUCUGCUAACCAUGUGUAUGUGACCAAUAAAAUUGGACUUGAUUCAUACAGUACACAUGUCAGUCUUACAGUUUCAUUCUCCUUGUACAGUACAUAUGUCAGUCUUACAGUUUCAUUCUCCUUGUACAGUACAUAUGUCAGUCUUAAUGUUUCAUUCUCCUUGUACAGUACAUAUGUCAGUCUUAAUGUUUCAUUCUCCUUGUACAGUACAUAUGUCAGUCUUAAUGUUUCAUUCUCCUUGUACAGUACAUAUGUCAGUCUUAAUGUUUCAUUCUCCUUGUACAGUACAUAUGUCAGUCUUAAUGUUUCAUUCUCCUUGUACAGUACAUAUGUCAGUCUUACUGUUUCAUUCUCCUUGUACAGUACAUAUGUCAGUCUUAAUGUCUCAUUCUCCUUGUACAGUACAUAUGUCAGUCUUACUGUUUCAUUCUCCUUGUACAGUACAUGUGUAGAUGAUCAGAUAUAUGGGGUAUUGUAAUGCAGUAGGAUACAGUUAUAACGUCCUGGUGUAGUCUGUAGUCUGGUGUAGCUAUUUCUGCCCCAUGCAACACUGUUUUCCUGUGUGAGUCGUCAACUGAUAUGGUAUCGCCUGUCUCUCCGCUUGAAAUUCAUCAGUGUAUCAAUGAAAUCUGGAUAAUGAGUAGAAUAUAUUGUUGUAUUCAACUCGGGUAUAAAUAUAUUGUUAUAUACAACCCAGGUAUAAAUAUAUUGUAAUAUACAACUCAGGUAUAAACAUAUUGUAUACAACUCAGGUAUAAAUAUAUUGUAAUAUACAACUCAGGUGUAAAUAUAUUGUAAUGUACAACCCAGGUAUAUAUUGUAAUGUACAACCCAGGUAUUUCAGCAGUGCAUUGUACAGCACAGUGUAAUUCCGAAUGGAAGCACUUCCAGUGACUCUCCACGUUGUCCAAUUGAAGCACCCUGGCUGAUGGAGAAUGAUGAUGUAGUAUUUACAGACACAUACAUAUAGUAUUUGAUUUUAAAUUCCAACAUAAAUUGAUGUGAAUUGAUACAUUUAUGUACAUUCAUUUUACAGUGUUCAGCAGUUAUGAAACUAUAUAGGUAAGCUAAGCAUUACUCCAUUUUGGUUCAGUAGUUAUCCGUUUUGAGCAGUUUGAUUAAGCGAUAGACAAAUGUAUUGUUAACAAGUGACAAGAAAAUCAUAUCAAAAGUAAAGUGAAUAUUGCAUUUUGAAAGGCAGAUACUUGAAGACUUGAACAUGUGUGCAAACUGAAAGAGGGGUUUGCUGCAGUGAACAAGUGACUGUGAAUUUGUUUGUCGUACUCAGUCCAUUGAACAUGUGCUUAGAGUUUUGACCACGUGACAGUUUGAUGAUCUGUUUAGAGUCUUGUACUAAGAGUUGUGAAAAUUGCACCAAAGUGCAAAAAAUUAAGACUGUAAAUUGUCUUUUCAAAUGUUUUAUGACUUUUAAUGGAAGAAUUGUUAUCAAUACUGAAACAAUAUAAAAUGUAAUGCUACAUCUCGUGUGUUAAUAAAGUUGCG
Molecule: long non-coding RNA, 3826 nt
Organism: Oncorhynchus tshawytscha (Chinook salmon)
Lineage: Eukaryota; Metazoa; Chordata; Actinopteri; Salmoniformes; Salmonidae
Source: Ensembl